This 697-nucleotide long non-coding RNA is filed under the name Oryzias javanicus (javanese ricefish). RNAcentral's name for it is "lncRNA (ENSOJAG00000010465.1)". The record is from RNAcentral. Lineage: Eukaryota; Metazoa; Chordata; Actinopteri; Beloniformes; Adrianichthyidae.
AAUGCUAUUUAAUGCAACUUUGAUCAUGUGAUGCUUUAAAUAGCCUCCAUAAUCAUGUCUAUAAUUACAAUGACUAAUUGAAAUGACCCCUUCUUUUUCUAUUCUGAGAUUGAUGAGAAGAUAUCAUUGGAAAGUCUCCAGAAACUCAAGCUAACUUUUGAGGUACUGAGAGAAUUGUUAUAAAAAUAUCAUAUUUUGAGAUUUAACUAUAUGUUUUUUUCUAAAGGAAUAUGAAGCGAAAGGCUUAAGAUGCAUUGAUGAGGGAGCUUUUGGACACGCGCUGAAGACGUGUUUUGGUUUGUCUAACACGAGCAAUGAACAGAUUCAUGGAUUAUUUAAGAAGAUUGAUUAUUUAGAUCAAGGAAAGAUUUCUUGGGCUGACUUCUGCACACAUAUUCUGCACGAGUAUCACGAAAAGGAAGAAAUUGUCAAGCGCAGCAAGCAAGUGGCCUUCGCUCAACCGGCCAAAGUGAAAACUCUUAGUCAUGAUUUUCCCAUUGUCAACAUCCACUCCACCCAUGAUGGCAGCGUGUUCACGGUCAGAGAAGAUGGGCUCGUUUGUCACUGGAGCGCUGAACUUAAACUACAGAAGAGCAAACAGAUCUUUAAUGAAGGAUCUGCUGGUAGAAAGUCAAGGUGGGCAACUGAUUCCACACUAAUGGAGGAAUACAAAAAGCUCAUUAUUGGAACCGGGAGC